CGAGCAUCGGUUCACAUCUGUGUCGCAUCCCCAAACCAACGGUGAGGCCGAGGUCACAAAUCGGACAAUCCUCCAAGGAAUUAAGGCGCGAAUCGGUCGGACGGGGCAAGCUUGGGUCGAAGAACUCGAGAAUGUCCUUUGGGCGUAUCGGACCACGCAUCGGACCCCUACCGGGGAGACGCCUUUCAGCCUAACCUAUGGCACGGAAGCGG
Molecule: long non-coding RNA, 212 nt
Filed under: Phoenix dactylifera (date palm)
Lineage: Eukaryota; Viridiplantae; Streptophyta; Magnoliopsida; Arecales; Arecaceae
Description: long non-coding RNA (PDAC_LNC018510)
Source: RNAcentral